UGGGUGUGUAAGGCCAUCUUUCUUAUCCAAAUAAAUAAAUUACACCUUUAUCCAUUUUCAUUUUAAAAAAAUCACUUUCCUAAAAAAAAAAAGAAAAAGUCAGUACUUUUUUCACCUAUUUGUUCCAAAAAAAUAAAAUAAAAUUUAAGACUAUCUUGCUCUCAACAAAAGAAAACAAUUUUUAGGCCUUUCGCAUUCUUAAAAAGGAAAUUUGUUUUGCAGGACAAAAAAAUUCUUAUUUGGUUUCAAAAACAAAAAAUAAAAAUAAAAAUAGAAAAUCACUUUUUCCUCAAAGUUUGCUUUUUAAAUCCAUUUCAUUUUUCCAAAAAAAAGUAAAAAAUAAAAAAAGAAGAAGAAAGGAAUCUUCACUUAAAAAAAAUCGCUUUUAAGGCAUCUUCUUCUUUAAAUUUUUUUCUUUUUUUCUUUUCUCGUAAUUUAGCAUUUGUCACUUCUCUCUUUGUUCACUAAAAAGAAAAAAAAGGCGUAAAAAGAAGGAAAACAAUAUUGUCAAAGGGUCACCUACACCGGCUGCCUAACUGUGCGUUGAUCGAGUCACCCUCGACUUGGGGCAUCCUCAACUAGGCGCGGAUUAUGCUUUGUUGCCACUCUCUUGACCACAUACUUCCAUAGGGGUUGCUUACCCCCGCACCUUAACUGUGCUCUCGGCCAAUCAAGCUCUGAUUCAAAGCGCGCUUCACUCGGCACGAUUUGUGCCAAGUACUUAGAUUUUUUUCACUGUGUGUUUUCUUCUUUUCACUUGCGUGCUUUAUUACAUAGUACUGCAUACAACAGACCAGGGAAGCCUGGGAAACUAUCAAAUAUUUUCGAAAACCCCCAAAAUUUGGCAUUAACGUCAUGAGGGGAAUCUAGCCUUGAGAGCCGAGGCAGUGGGAAUUCGCGUAACAGUAACUGUGCUCACCCCUCUAUAAUCCUUAGCCUCAUAGCAACUCCACACAUAGUAAGACCUGGCUGAUUUCUUUAACACGUCGUUAAGACCUACAUGGGGACCCACACAGCCUAGCCGUAUUUAUGUAGUUAGAACCACUCAAACCUAACCUACUCCUAGUUUAGGGCAAAGUUUUCGAGUACUUUGUUUUCUUAUUAUAGCUGACAAAUCUUAGCUCUCAAUCAAGAUGGAUUUCUGACAGUCUGAGUCCAGGCUCAUACUCAGCCUAGCCCAGGUCCGAACCAGGUUCAUAACCAGGUCCGAACCUAGGCUCCCUCUUUGUACGAGCGAAAGCUCACACCAAAUCUCACAUAAAUCUUAGUCCCGGUCCACAUCCAGACGGAAUUUGAAACUUGCUGGGUCCGAGUCCAGGCUUGCAUCCAACCCAGCCCAGGUUCGAACCGGGUUCACAACAGUUCAAACCUAGGCUCCCUCUUGGUGCGAGUCAAGGCUCAUACCAAAUCUCAUCUAAAUCUCAAUUCGGGUCCACACCUAGUCUAAAUUCAAAACCCUCUAGGUCCAAGUCUAGGCUUGGACCCAGCUUAGUCCAGCUCCAAACCAGGUUCACAUCCAGGUUCGAACCUAGACCAUCUCUUAGUCUGAGUCAAGACUAGUGCCCAUCCAGUCUAGAUUUUAGUCUACGUCCUAACUUAGUUCUAGAUAUUGAAUUGCCUCUAGGACUAGACUAGAUCCAUUUUAGUUUAGGGUCGAACCUAAAU
RNAcentral lists this long non-coding RNA (1665 nucleotides) under Amborella trichopoda. Its description in RNAcentral is "long non-coding RNA (ATRI_LNC000519)". The record is from RNAcentral. Lineage: Eukaryota; Viridiplantae; Streptophyta; Magnoliopsida; Amborellales; Amborellaceae.